Molecule: ribosomal RNA, 579 nt
Filed under: uncultured bacterium
Lineage: Bacteria
Description: bacterial SSU rRNA
Rfam family: Bacterial small subunit ribosomal RNA
Source: RNAcentral
CCUACGGGAGGCAGCAGUGAGGAAUAUUGGUCAAUGGGCGAGAGCCUGAACCAGCCAUCCCGCGUGCAGGAAGAAUGCCCUAUGGGUUGUAAACUGCUUUUUCGCAUGAAGAACACCCCUGACGCGUUCGGGGGCUGACGGUAAUGCGUGAAUAAGCACCGGCUAACUCCGUGCCAGCAGCCGCGGUAAUACGGAGGGUGCAAGCGUUAUCCGGAUUUAUUGGGUUUAAAGGGUGCGUAGGCGGCGCUUUAAGUCAGUGGUGAAAUCCUGCAGCUCAACUGUAGAACAGCCAUUGAAACUGAAGUGCUUGAGUAAUCUUGAGGUAGGCGGAAUGUGUAGUGUAGCGGUGAAAUGCUUAGAUAUUACACAGAACACCGAUUGCGAAGGCAGCUUACUAAGGAUUCACUGACGCUGAUGCACGAAAGCGUGGGGAUCAAACAGGAUUAGAUACCCUGGUAGUCCACGCCGUAAACGAUGAUAACUCGCUGUUGGCGAUACACAGUCAGCGGCUUAGCGAAAGCGUUAAGUUAUCCACCUGGGGAGUACGCUCGCAAGAGUGAAACUCAAAGGAAUUGACGG